UGAGGAAUAUUGGUCAAUGGGCGAGAGCCUGAACCAGCCAAGUAGCGUGCAGGACGACGGCCCUAUGGGUUGUAAACUGCUUUUAUGUGGGGAUAAAGUGCGUGACGUGUCAUGCAUUGCAGGUACCACAUGAAUAAGGACCGGCUAAUUCCGUGCCAGCAGCCGCGGUAAUACGGAAGGUCCGGGCGUUAUCCGGAUUUAUUGGGUUUAAAGGGAGCGUAGGCUGUCUAUUAAGCGUGUUGUGAAAUUUACCGGCUCAACCGGUGGCUUGCAGCGCGAACUGGUCGACUUGAGUAUGCAGGAAGUAGGCGGAAUUCAUGGUGUAGCGGUGAAAUGCUUAGAUAUCAUGACGAACUCCGAUUGCGCAGGCAGCUUACUGUAGCAUAACUGACGCUGAUGCUCGAAAGUGCGGGUAUCAAACAGGAUUAGAUACCCUGGUAGUCCGCACGGUAAACGAUGGAUGCUCGCUAUUCGUCCGUUUAGGAUGAGUGGCCAAGUGAAAACAUUAAGCAUCCCACCUGGGGAGUACGCCGGCAACGGUGAAACUCAAAGGAAUUGACGGGGGCCCGCACAAGCGGAGGAACAUGUGGUUUAAUUCGAUGAUACGCGAGGAACCUUACCCGGGCUUGAACUGCCAGCGAACGAUACAGAGAUGUUGAGGCCCUUCGGGGCGCUGGUGGAGGUGCUGCAUGGUUGUCGUCAGCUCGUGCCGUGAGGUGUCGGCUUAAGUGCCAUAACGAGCGCAACCCUUUUCUUUAGUUGCCAUCAGGUGAUGCUGGGCACUCUAUGGAUACUGCCACCGUAAGGUGUGAGGAAGGUGGGGAUGACGUCAAAUCAGCACGGCCCUUACGUCCGGGGCUACACACGUGUUACAAUGGGGCAUACAGAGUGUUGGCUUAA
RNAcentral lists this ribosomal RNA (900 nucleotides) under uncultured bacterium. RNAcentral describes it as "bacterial SSU rRNA". It matches the Rfam family "Bacterial small subunit ribosomal RNA", at positions 355 to 1255 of the family's 1533-position model. The record is from RNAcentral.